GAUCUCCAUUGGAAUUCACAGAAGAGAGUAGGGAGGAAAACCCUGGCGUAAACCGAUAAACGGCCCUCUCAGUGUUAUAGUAAGUUCUUCAAUCUUCAACUCUUUACUUUUAAAUUUGAGUCUAUUCUUGCUGGAUGAGAGGUGCAUGGGGACUAGAGAGAGAGAGAGAAACACAGGAAAAGAAGGAAAUGACGUAUGAGGAUUAGUUGGUUUGAGAAUAUUAUUGAGCUGCUUUUGGGAGCAAGCAGGGACCCUUAACAGAGAUGUUAUUUAAUUGGGAUGGACUUCACCUAUGUAGACUGUAUCUUGAAGGGUCCUUUUCCUGCUUUUCACUGCAUAACUUUAUUUUUUGCCAACUAUGGAAAAUAGGGCUUUAAAAAUUAUGAGACAGCCACCUAAUCCACCACGUCUUUGUUAUUUUACUUGGAUUAUAAAAGCGAAAGAGGACGGACGGCAAUAUUUCCCAUUCUUUUUUUUUCUUUUGGAUUUAAUUGGAUGGAAUUUCAGGGUAGAAAUGAAGUGGGAAUCUUUAUGUUGCAGGGAUCUACAUCAAAAAUUUGAAGAAAAAAAUAGGGCAUUACAGCUGGAGCUUUGGUGAGGCAAAUCGGGGUCAACUGUAGAUUAGAAGAAAAGAAGGACGACUAAUUGUCUGUCAUGCGUAACGUAGCCGUUGGGUUUAGAUUUCGAAAAACCGAAGGUUGGAAAGAACAGCAGUAGUGAACUUUUAGCCGAGACAAAUUACUUAGUUCACAAUUCAUCUAGUCAAGUGCAGUUUGUGAGUUUUGAGCUGCUGCAGGUCAUUCAGCAGACUGGGUGGUUGAUUCCCUCACUGCGGGUUAUUGAUCGUGUUUUCUGUUGGAUCCGAUCCAUUCAUCCUCAUAACUUGGUUUUGUCAGAGAUCAUCAAUUGGUUGUAAUAAAAACAAAGCAACAGUUGUGGAAAGCCUGCAGUAAUCCAAAUCUUCUGAACAAAAGCCUGAAGCAGAGAAGCAAGAAAUUCCGGUAACUUUCUGCGAUUUUUCUCUUGGACCUAUUAGUUUGUACGUAUUUGUGUAGAUGAGAAACGGGGUCAUAUAAACAGACAAAAGAGUUGAAUGAAAAGACUAGAGAGGAACCGAGUAAAGACAAUAAAUUUGUGUUAUGUAAGAAAGAAAAGAAGCCUCUUUCCCUUGAAUACUGUUAUAAUCUAUGAUUAACACCAGCUUUCUCUACACUAGUUGCACUUUUUUGUGUCCAGGAAGCAGCUUUGAAGGAAUGAUUAGGGAGAAUUAAUGUAACGUCUAUAAUGGAGGCAUUUCAACAGAGGUUUUGUUCUCAUUUUGCUGCUGAGUGCUUCGAGGAGUAAUGAAUGUGCUUUGGAGGACGCAGAGUUAAAAGGAAGGAAGAGAAAAAGGAAAAAGGUAAAUUUGAUUCCAUUAUAACCUUUUUCCUUUAUAAAAUCUGUUUUUGUUCUUACGCAAUUGGCAUUUAUGCGGUAAUCCUUUAUGAAAAAUUUGUUCGUUGUUUAUGCAAAUGGCAUUUAUAUAGUACAGAUUCACACUAGCUCAACUUCUCAACCACUUUUUUUGGCUAACAUUAACAGUUCGCCGAGCUUGCUUGCAUGCCCAGGACAGGAUCCCCUUUAAUUAUUAGGGGUCGUUUGUUAUAGAAGAAAUGAGGUAGUGUUAUUCCAAAACUUUUUGUUUUGGCGAAUACGUUGUUUGUCUAUUUGUUUGUUUGGAAGACUUGCUAAGGUGUUACAGGAGCUUAGCAAGAGGAGACUGACUGAUUAAUAAUAAUAAGAACAUUGAUUACAAGAGGUGAUAGGGAAGUUGUAAGGUAUUACAUAAUACUUAUUAGUGUUAAGAUUAUGAAGAUAUGUCGGUAGGUGAUUGUGGAAUGAUUUGAUGGGUCUACUACCUUUUGAUUUGUGAGCUAUGAGCUAUCUAGUGUAACCAAAAUCGUUAAAAUAAGAUGGGUGUUGUAUUAUAAAAAUAUAAAGUCAAC
Molecule: long non-coding RNA, 1985 nt
Filed under: Linum usitatissimum (flax)
Lineage: Eukaryota; Viridiplantae; Streptophyta; Magnoliopsida; Malpighiales; Linaceae
Description: long non-coding RNA (LUSI_LNC004527)
Source: RNAcentral